UACAGAGGGGGCAAGCGUUGUUCGGAAUUACUGGGCGUAAAGAGUUGCGUAGGUGGCAGAGUAAGUAGAUAGUGAAAGCGUGUGGCUCAACCAUACUCACAUUAUCUAAACUAUCCAGCUAGAGGAUGAGAGAGGUUAUUGGAAUUCCCAGUGUAGGAGUGAAAUCCGUAGAUAUUGGGAGGAACACCGAUGGCGUAGGCAGAUAACUGGCUCAUUCCUGACACUAAGGCACGAAAGCGUGGGUAGCAAACGGG
RNAcentral lists this ribosomal RNA (254 nucleotides) under uncultured bacterium. Its description in RNAcentral is "partial 16S ribosomal RNA". It matches the Rfam family "Bacterial small subunit ribosomal RNA", at positions 524 to 776 of the family's 1533-position model. The record is from RNAcentral.